CAGGUCACUCCUACGGGAGGCAGCAGUGGGGAAUCUUGCACAAUGGGGGAAACCCUGAUGCAGCGACGCCGCGUGAGCGAUGAAGCCCUUCGGGGUGUAAAGCUCUUUCGACAGGAACGAUAAUGACGGUACCUGGAGAAGAAGCUGCGGCUAACUACGUGCCAGCAGCCGCGGUAAUACGUAGGCAGCAAGCGUUGUUCGGAGUUACUGGGCGUAAAGAGUGCGUAGGCGGUCUGGCAAGUUCGGUGUGAAAUCUCCCGGCUUAACUGGGAGGGUGCGCCGAAGACUGUUGGGCUGGAGUAUGGGAGAGGCAGGCGGAAUUCCUGGUGUAGCGGUGAAAUGCGUAGAUAUCAGGAGGAACACCGGUGGUGUAGGCGGCUUGCUGGACCAUAACUGACGCUGAGGCACGAAAGCGUGGGGAGCAAACAGGAUUAGAUACCCUGGUAGUCCACGCCCUAAACGAUGCAGACUUGGUGUAGGCCAUUCAGUUGGUCUGUGCCGGAGCUAACGCGUUAAGUCUGCCGCCUGGGGAGUACGGUCGCAAGGCUGAAACUUAAAGGAAUUGAC
RNAcentral lists this ribosomal RNA (567 nucleotides) under uncultured Acidobacteriota bacterium. RNAcentral's name for it is "bacterial SSU rRNA". It matches the Rfam family "Bacterial small subunit ribosomal RNA", at positions 329 to 914 of the family's 1533-position model. The record is from RNAcentral. Lineage: Bacteria; Pseudomonadati; Acidobacteriota.